Molecule: long non-coding RNA, 544 nt
Filed under: Homo sapiens (human)
Lineage: Eukaryota; Metazoa; Chordata; Mammalia; Primates; Hominidae
Description: HSALNT0038864
Source: RNAcentral
ACAGGACAUCGAAAGCACAGGAAGUUCCUGUCUCCUGCCUAGGGUUCUGGAAAAAGUUAAUGGCUGAGCCAAGUGUAGGAUUCACACCCCAGGAUUUUUCCUGCCUUCCCCAAUUUCUGCGUCUGCUCUUUCUGUAGAGCCUGACAUUUCAAGGGCCCUGGGGGAAAAUAUUGACUGGUUUGGGAAGGGACUCAGAAUUGCACCUACAAAGAAUUAUUAAUGGCACUGGCAUCCCUAACUACUGGGAAGAGAAAGGGGUUUCAAGGGUUGUUGGAGUUUUAAAGAAGACUGUGGAUAGAAACUGUCCAGCUCAGUGUCUAUGCCUCCAGCAGCUUCUCAGGAACUUCUCCUGCCACUAUUCACCAUUUCAUGACCUUCUUCUGCAGACCUCUCUUCCCCCUCACAGACAGGCUGCAGCCUGGAGCCAGGACACACUAGCAACCUGAGGGCAUCCACGCGAGGCUCUGGGCUGCAGGUGUGGAGACCCAGGGACCACUCAGCAUUUUCAACUCGUCAUAUGUCAUUUGGGAGGGUCGCCGCCCCU